Molecule: ribosomal RNA, 304 nt
Filed under: uncultured bacterium
Lineage: Bacteria
Description: partial 16S ribosomal RNA
Rfam family: Bacterial small subunit ribosomal RNA
Source: RNAcentral
CAGCAGCAGCCGCGGGAAUACGUAGGGUGCAAGCGUUAAUCGGAAUUACAGGGCGUAAAGCGUGCGCAGGCGGUUCGUUAAGACAGAUGUGAAAUCCCCGGGCUUAACCUGGGAACUGCAUUUGUGACUGGCAAGCUAGAGUCUGGCAGAGGGGGGUGGAAUUCCGCGUGUAGCAGUGAAAUGCGUAGAUAUGCGGAGGAACACCGAUGGCGAGGGCAGCCCCCUGGGCCAACACUGACGCUCAUGCACGAAAGCGUGGGGAGCAAACAGGAUUAGAGACCCCCGUAGUCCCUGUCUCUUAUAC